GCCUGGGUGGCUCAGUUGAUUGAGCAUCUGACUUUGGCUCAGGUCAUGACGUCUUUGUUUGUGAGUUCAAACCCCACACCCAGCU
Molecule: transfer RNA, 85 nt
Filed under: Felis catus (domestic cat)
Lineage: Eukaryota; Metazoa; Chordata; Mammalia; Carnivora; Felidae
Rfam family: tRNA
About the family: Transfer RNA (tRNA) molecules are approximately 80 nucleotides in length. Their secondary structure includes four short double-helical elements and three loops (D, anti-codon, and T loops).
Source: Rfam by way of RNAcentral